CUCGAGCACCCAACUUUCCUUGUCUCUAUCAGAACAAGUUCACUCACCCAAGCGCAGUCACU
This 62-nucleotide transfer RNA is filed under the name Pelagophyceae sp. RCC2696. Lineage: Eukaryota; Pelagophyceae. The record is from RNAcentral.